This 492-nucleotide ribosomal RNA is filed under the name uncultured bacterium. Its description in RNAcentral is "partial 16S ribosomal RNA". It matches the Rfam family "Bacterial small subunit ribosomal RNA", at positions 29 to 507 of the family's 1533-position model. The record is from RNAcentral.
AGUGAACGCUGGCGGUAGGCCUAACACAUGCAAGUCGAACGGCAGCACAGUAAGAGCUUGCUCUUACGGGUGGCGAGUGGCGGACGGGUGAGGAAUACAUCGGAAUCUACUUUUUCGUGGGGGAUAACGUAGGGAAACUAACGCUAAUACCGCAUACGACCUACGGGUGAAAGCAGGGGAUCUUCGGACCUUGCGCGAUUGAAUGAGCCGAUGUCGGAUUAGCUAGUUGGCGGGGUAAAGGCCCACCAAGGCGACGAUCCGUAGCUGGUCUGAGAGGAUGAUCAGCCACACUGGAACUGAGACACGGUCCAGACUCCUACGGGAGGCAGCAGUGGGGAAUAUUGGACAAUGGGCGCAAGCCUGAUCCAGCCAUACCGCGUGGGUGAAGAAGGCCUUCGGGUUGUAAAGCCCUUUUGUUGGGAAAGAAAAGCAGCAGGUUAAGACCCCGCUGUUCUGACGGUACCCAAAGAAUAAGCACCGGCUAACUUCGUG